GUCUAUGACCAUGAACCCUGAACAAGCCUGAUGUCUGAUCUCAGAAGCUAAGCAGGGUCACGUCUGGUUAGUACUUGGAUGGGAGACCACCUAGGAAGACCAGAUGCUGUAUGCA
This 115-nucleotide ribosomal RNA is filed under the name Pteropus alecto (black flying fox). Lineage: Eukaryota; Metazoa; Chordata; Mammalia; Chiroptera; Pteropodidae. The record is from RNAcentral.